Molecule: ribosomal RNA, 429 nt
Filed under: uncultured bacterium
Lineage: Bacteria
Description: bacterial SSU rRNA
Rfam family: Bacterial small subunit ribosomal RNA
Source: RNAcentral
UGGGGAAUUUUGGACAAUGGGCGCAAGCCUGAUCCAGCCAUGCCGCGUGAGUGAAGAAGGCCUUCGGGUUGUAAAGCUCUUUCGCGAGGGAAGAAAAGCCAUUUAAUAACACUAGGUGGCGAUGACGGUACCUUGAUAAGAAGCACCGGCUAACUACGUGCCAGCAGCCGCGGUAAUACGUAGGGUGCGAGCGUUAAUCGGAAUUACUGGGCGUAAAGCGAGCGCAGGCGGUUUUGCAAGUCUGAUGUGAAAGCCCCGGGCUCAACCUGGGAACUGCGUUGGAAACUGCAAGGCUAGAGUGUGUCAGAGGGAGGUAGAAUUCCACGUGUAGCAGUGAAAUGCGUAGAGAUGUGGAGGAACACCGAUGGCGAAGGCAGCCUCCUGGGAUAACACUGACGCUCAUGCUCGAAAGCGUGGGGAGCAAACAGG